Molecule: small nuclear RNA, 161 nt
Organism: Lotus japonicus
Lineage: Eukaryota; Viridiplantae; Streptophyta; Magnoliopsida; Fabales; Fabaceae
Product: U1 spliceosomal RNA
Exons: 1
Source: RefSeq, a predicted model, not a curated record
AUACUUACCUGGAUGGGGUCUAUGGAUGAUCAUGAAGGUCCAUGGCCUAGGAUGGUGGCCUCCAUUGCACAUUAGGAGGGGUGCCACCCUAAGAUCUCCCCAAGUGGGAGAGUCUACAUCAUAAUUUGUUGCAGAGGGGGCUUGCGUUCGCGCAGCCCCUG